CAAAAUGAAAUGACAAAUACACACUGGAAAAUAACUAAAAUUACACUAAUAGUUCAACUAAAGAAUUUCAGUGUAAUAUCCACUGAAAAAUGCACUAUAGAAAAUCUUUAUGUGCACUAAGAAUUACAAUGUAAAAUCCACUAAAAUUACACUGUAAAUACCGCUAAAAAUACACUUCCAAUCCAAAUAAUUUGUACUAAAUAAUUACACUAAGCAUUUCAGUGUAAAUCCACUAAGAAAAACAUUGUAAAUCCAGUAGGAAUUACAAUGUAAAUCCACUUAGAAUUACAGUGGAAACCCACUAGGAAAAACACUGUAAAUCCAGUAGUAAUUACAGUGUAAAUCCACUUGGAAUUACACUGGAUAUCCACUAAGAAAAACACUGUAAAUCCAGUAGGAAUUACAAUGUAAAUCCACUUAUGGGUCCACACCAGAGAGGGCAAUUCCUCCAUGAUCUGGGACACAAAUCUGGCUGGAGAUGCAGAAAAAACACAGGUAAACACCCCCCCUCUUAUGCAUUCACUCCUCCAAGAUCUCUCUCCUACCUCAUGACAUCUGAAAGAAAAACAAGCUCCCUGUGAGGAUCAUUAACAUAUGCUGAAGAACACAACUUAACAGAACAAAGAUUAGAACACAGGCAGAAAAGAUAGCAUGGAGCAGGAGAAACUCUAGGAACAACUAGACUAUGAACACAUAUGAAUUACUAGUUUAUGGUCACAGGAAUAACACUUCUGGAACACUAGAUUCUGAAAACUAGUUGCAAAAUUAGUGCUCAGAAAUUCGCAGCUAUAGCUACAACACAGGGCCAAGAAAAGUUUGGGGAUGAGAGGGGGGGCAUGAGGAAGCUAUGAAUUCCAUUUAGGAAAAACUUGUUCAAACAAAAAGAGUAGUACUGCUGUAAUUUCAGAAGUUUGGUGCUGAGAAACUGUACAUUGUUCGGAUACUUUUGAUCAUGUUUGGACACUUGUAUCUGUGAAUCUAUGACUGUAUUUUAGACAUGGCAGAUUAGAUUUCAGUAUAAAGCUGUGAACAUAUGACUGUAUUUUAGAAACAAUGGUACUGUCCAAAGUUGUAGUUCAAAUUACUAUGAUCUGAUACUAGUUCACACUCAAUCUAAUAUGCCAUGAAAAUUAACAGUGAAAGUAAAAUUAUCAGAAAAAAAGACUGAGGACAAUCAGGUUAAGCACUGACACUCUGCACCCUACCUUGUAAAUUACAAGCUCUGAUUUGCACAUAAAUAGAAGAAAUCAGAAACUUGUGUAUGAAGAGACUACUGGAAUUGACACAAAUAACUCUGGCUUCAAAGAAAAAAUUGUACAAAAAACCUUGUCAAUGACUUGCAACAUGCUUUACUGCAUUUCUUACCUACUUGUUGCACCCUACAUAUGCAUAAACAUGCAUACAUGCAAAAAAAGGACAAAUGGGGACAUCAGAAAUACUCUUGUUUAUUCUACAACACUUCAUUACCUAUACUUUCUGAAAACAUUGAGUGCAGAUGCCUGCAAUCGAAUCAGAUGCAAUAGAAUAUAGCAUCAAAGGGCAGUCGCUGUACCUCGAAGAGAGUAUGACAAAUGCACUGUUCAAAAGGGGAGUGGGGGCUAAAUUCAGUGCAACAAGCUUCCUAAGAGAGUAUGACAGGAUAAUAGAAGUCAUUCAUGAGAGAAAGCAAGAAUGUGAUCACUUGUCUAGAAACAAAAAGGAUGCGCCCAAGAAGUUCUGGUCCAAAUACAGUAUAGAACGACAAGUGUAUGAGCUCUACAACAUUCGCAUCUUCAGGAAGUUCUGAAAGAAAAUGGAAGAUACAACGAGGUUGCAUGUGUUUGAGCUUGAAAAAGAAAAAAAAACUACAUGGUUAAAAACGAAAGAACCUACAUGAGAUAGAUUUGAUGCAAGAGAAAGUACUCAUGCAUGAUGGAUCUGCUGCACAUUUCACAAGGAUGGAAUCCUAUCCUGACACAUACUCAGAGUGAUGAUCCAACUGAACGUAGAGAGGAUACCUGACAAGUAUAUCAUAGACAAAUGAAGGAAAAAUGAUCACAUGGUACACUCAACCAAGCCUCCUCCCAUUUUUGAUGAAAACUCAACACUGAUGUACAAUGUGCUGAAAAGGAAACUCGUCUAUGUGGCUUCUCUGAACAAUUUACAAUGCCAUCAGGAGGAAUAACAAGGGGUCCCUGCUCACAAGGCUUAUAUGACAUAAAUGUGAUAAAAAAUUUACAGUAGAAUUACACUGCAAUUUAGCUUGGAAAAAUAUAGUACAUAGACUGCAAGAACAAAAUUCAGGAUAAUUACACUUAAUACACAGGUUAAACACUGAGUGUAAUUACAUUGCAAAUUACACUGAAUUUAUAGUGUAAUUACAAUGCAAUUUAGACUGAAAAAUUUUAGUACACAUACUAUAACUACAAAAAAAUAGGUUAAUUACACUGAAAAUUACAGUGUAUUUACAUUGCAAAUUAGACUGGAAAGUUUCAGUGCAUAGACUGUAAGUACAAAAAUUCAGGUUAAUUACACAUAAUAAACAGAUAAUUACACUGAAAGUACAACGUAAUUACACUGCAAGUUAGACCGGAAAGACUGUAAGUACAAAAAUUACAGGUUAGCUACACUAAUUUAUAGUGUAAAUUAAUGGUGGGGUUAAGCCCUCAGUUUAACACAGAUUGCAAGUUACAAGAAACAAAUUACUGUGAGAGAAAAGACUAUAUACCUGAACCAACAGUACAAAAUAUCACUGUAAAUUUGAACCAAAAACUGGACUACAAAUGAAACUAUACUGAAAAUCCACUCAAAAUUACACUAGAAAUUACAGUCCAAAACACUGAAACUAAAACAGAAUUAUUUCAGACCAACACGUACACAUCACGAGACUCAACCGACUAGAAGAGUCAACAUUUGCAUGUCUACAUCUAUGAUCAUUAAAUUACUUUCUCUAUGUACUGAAAAGUUCAGUUAACGUACCACCAUGUAAACAAAAGUAUAAAACAAUGGAAGCACACAAUUCAGUUAAAUGUACCACCAUGUACAGUGUAAGUUACACAUAGAUAUCAGUGAAAUUUAAAUAGAGAUAUCACUAUAGUACAGACCAAACAACUGUUGCUUAAUUGAAGAAAUUCAGUCCAGAAUAAAACCUAAAAAGUACAUUUACGCUUGCCAUUUACAGUGAAAAACCAGUGUAAGAUAGACUACUAUAGACUGAAACUACAGUAGAAAUAUCACUGUAAAAUUAAACCUAAUAUUACAUUUACACUGGCCAUUCACUAUUGCUGUCUAUAGUAGCCAAACAACUGUUACUUAAUUACAGUGAAAUCCACUCAAAAUUACACUGCAAUAGUACAGACCAAAUAACUAUUACUUAAUUGUAGAAAUUCAGUCCAGAAUCAAACAACAGAGGAAAAGCGGAGCAACCAUACAUCUACAUCAGAAAUUACACUAGAAAACCACACAUCUACAUCAAAAACAGGCUAGACCAGACGAACAUCAACCUACCACACUAGCAGCUACCAAUGGAUCAACACCGCUAAUUCAAAGCCUGCCACAAGGAAACUACAUCUACAUUCGGAAGAAGAAAUCAAAAUAGACAAGAGGGAUCCACCGCUAAAUUUACAUGUGCAACAAAAAAUACCACAUACGAAAAAUGCAAGUAGAAGAAUACAACGAGACAAUCAACCAGAUCUAGCAAAUCGCACAGAAAAACGAAGGGAAAAUGGAACAGGGGGAGAGGGGGUGCUUGCAAACCAACAACCUCAGGUAGGGGGCGGGGAGAGACGCAGGGCUUGCGGACCACCACAAAAGAAGGAGCGGCACGAAUCAAAGACCCGAGAAGAAACCGCAGCCAAAUCGCCAUGGCGUCGACUUCGCCUCUCCCUUUCUCC
RNAcentral lists this long non-coding RNA (3872 nucleotides) under Triticum aestivum (bread wheat). Its description in RNAcentral is "long non-coding RNA (TAES_LNC015008)". Lineage: Eukaryota; Viridiplantae; Streptophyta; Magnoliopsida; Poales; Poaceae. The record is from RNAcentral.